CAUCUUUAUCAGUCUAUAUAUAUACGCAAACUUUAGCACAAUUUAGCAGCUGAUCAAGCAAUUUCGGUUUCUAGUGAAAGUUGAAGAUGGUCAGUGAUGAAACAAAAACUGAUAGCACUGGUUUUGGAAUGGGAAUGUCUUUUAAUAGGGCAAGCCACAAACAAAGUUCUUCCAAAAUGGUAAUUUUGUGCCGGUACCGUGGUAUCUACUGGAAUAUACAUUUUGAUGUUAAACUCACGCGACACUGCAGAAAGUCUCUGUAGCCUUUGGCUGAACUGAAUCACUAAGCCUUUUACUCCAUCGCUCUGACAGAAUAUGUUGGUGAAACAGCAAUACACGGCUGGUAAAUUUUAUCCACGUUUCAUUUUCUUGGUCGAUCGAGCUGCACGUCUAACAUUUCACGAAGGUAUAGCGACAUCUUCAUUCGAUCUUUUUCAUUUAGUCGAUUGUCUAAUGUACAGUGCUGCAUAGCAUGUUCUAGCUUUGUCGUAACUGCUUCUAAUUUCACUUUCCCCAUUAGCAAUAACAUCGCUUCGGUUCUUACAAUCCAAUUUAAAUUUUAAGUCUUGUAGCAAGUCUUUUAUAAUUUAUUUCAAUAGUG
Molecule: non-coding RNA, 601 nt
Organism: Paramuricea clavata
Lineage: Eukaryota; Metazoa; Cnidaria; Anthozoa; Malacalcyonacea; Plexauridae
Source: the annotation of a GenBank genome assembly